This 475-nucleotide long non-coding RNA is filed under the name Phoenix dactylifera (date palm). RNAcentral's name for it is "long non-coding RNA (PDAC_LNC016066)". The record is from RNAcentral. Lineage: Eukaryota; Viridiplantae; Streptophyta; Magnoliopsida; Arecales; Arecaceae.
UGAUUGGUGAACCUGGAAAACCAAUUGUAAAGGUUCGUUGGUGAGCCCGUAAAACCAACAUAGGUUCGUUGGUGAGCCCGUAAAACCAACAUAGGUUUUUGGUGAACCCGGAAAACCAAAGUGUAAAGGUUUUUAGAUUGUGAGCCCGGAAAACAAUCCAACUGUAAUCCGCGGGAUUAUAGUGAAUUUCCAAGGGGUUGCUUGGGGAGUGGACGUAGGUGCUAAGGAGAGCACCGAACCACUAUACUUCUUGUUGUUUGCAUUGUGAUUUGUUUAAGUUCACUAACUCAUCAUUUAACACAAGUAAGAUAGAUAAAAUCAAAAGAAACCAAUUCACCCCCCCUCUUGGCUUGUCACCUUGGGCAACAAGUGGUAUCAGAGCAAGGUGCUCCAAUAGUACUCAUUGAUCUCACAAUCAAGAGUUAAAGAUCAUGACAACCCAAGUGGGAUGUUCUAUGAGUGAGGGGCAAUCCAU